UGGUGGAGUGAUUUGUCUGGUUAAUUCCGAUAACGAACGAGACCUUAACCUGCUAAAUAGCCAGGCCGGCUCCGCUGGUCGCAGGCUUCUUAGAGGGACUGUCGGCGUCUAGCUGACGGAAGUUUGAGGCAAUAACA
Molecule: ribosomal RNA, 137 nt
Filed under: uncultured eukaryote
Lineage: Eukaryota
Description: partial 18S ribosomal RNA
Rfam family: Eukaryotic small subunit ribosomal RNA
Source: RNAcentral